GUCUACGGCCAUGUUACCCUGAACAAGCCCGAUCCCGUCUGAUCUCGGAAGCUAACCAGGGUCGGGCCUGCUUAGUACUUGGAUGAAAGACCACUUAGGAAGACCAGGUGCUGUAGGUG
RNAcentral lists this ribosomal RNA (119 nucleotides) under Pteropus alecto (black flying fox). RNAcentral also lists the same sequence under 1 other name. The record is from RNAcentral. Lineage: Eukaryota; Metazoa; Chordata; Mammalia; Chiroptera; Pteropodidae.